GACGAACGCUGGCGGCGUGCCUAAUACAUGCAAGUUGAGCGCUGAAGGUUGGUACUUGUACCAACUGGAUGAGCAGCGAACGGGUGAGUAACGCGUGGGGAAUCUGUCUUUGAGCGGGGGACAACAUUUGGAAACGAAUGCUAAUACCGCAUAAAAACUUUAAACACAAGUUUUAAGUUUGAAAGAUGCAAUUGCAUCACUCAAAGAUGAUCCCGCGUUGUAUUAGCUAGUUGGUGAGGUAAAGGCUCACCAAGGCGAUGAUACAUAGCCGACCUGAGAGGGUGAUCGGCCACAUUGGGACUGCGACACGGCCCAAACUCCUACGGGAGGCAGCAGUAGGGAAUCUUCGGCAAUGGACGAAAGUCUGACCGAGCAACGCCGCGUGAGUGAAGAAGGUUUUCGGAUCGUAAAACUCUGUUGGUAGAGAAGAACGUUGGUGAGAGUGGAAAGCUCAUCAAGUGACGGUAACUACCCAGAAAGGGACGGCUAACUACGUG
Molecule: ribosomal RNA, 497 nt
Filed under: uncultured bacterium
Lineage: Bacteria
Description: partial 16S ribosomal RNA
Rfam family: Bacterial small subunit ribosomal RNA
Source: RNAcentral